This 460-nucleotide ribosomal RNA is filed under the name uncultured bacterium. RNAcentral describes it as "partial 16S ribosomal RNA". It matches the Rfam family "Bacterial small subunit ribosomal RNA", at positions 338 to 795 of the family's 1533-position model. The record is from RNAcentral.
CCUACGGGUGGCAGCAAUGAGGAAUAUUGGUCAAUGGGCUUACGCCUGAACCAGCCAAGUCGCGUGAGGGAAGACUGCCCUAUGGGUUGUAAACCUCUUUUGUCAGGGAGCAACGCCGGCUACGUGUAGCCGGACUGAGAGUACCUGAAGAAAAAGCAUCGGCUAACUCCGUGCCAGCAGCCGCGGUAAUACGGAGGAUGCGCGCGUUAUCCGGAUUUAUUGGGUUUAAAGGGUGCGUAGGCGGAAUGCCAAGUCAGCGGUAAAAUCGCGGGGCUCAACCUCGCUCCGCCGGUGAAACUGGCGUGCUUGAGUGGGCGAGAAGUAUGCGGAAUGCGGGGUGUAGCGGUGAAAUGCAUAGAUAUCACGCAGAACUCCGAUUGCGAAGGCAGCAUACCGGCGCCCAACUGACGCUGAAGCACGAAAGCGUGGGUAUCGAACAGGAUUAGAUACCCUAGUAGUC